UGAAAAAAAAAAAAAAAAAAAAAAAAAAAAAAAAAAAAAAA
This 41-nucleotide non-coding RNA is filed under the name Alexandrium minutum. The record is from RNAcentral. Lineage: Eukaryota; Dinophyceae; Gonyaulacales; Pyrocystaceae.